This 443-nucleotide ribosomal RNA is filed under the name Novastoa pholetor. RNAcentral describes it as "partial 12S ribosomal RNA". It matches the Rfam family "Bacterial small subunit ribosomal RNA", at positions 875 to 1520 of the family's 1533-position model. Lineage: Eukaryota; Metazoa; Mollusca; Gastropoda; Littorinimorpha; Vermetidae. The record is from RNAcentral.
UUUUGAAAGUAAAGUUAUAUAUACCAGAGCAGUACGAUAAAAAGUUUUAAAACUCAAAAAGCUUGGCGGUGCUGUAGACUAAUUAGGGGAACUUGUCUCGUAAUCGAUAAUCCCCGUUAAACCUUACCUGAACUAGUAUAAGCAACUUAUAUACCGUCGUCAUCAGGCAACCCCUAAAGGAAUUUAAGUUGACGUGAAAAAGUUAGUUUUUUUAUAUGUCAGAUCAAGGUGUAGUUUAUGUUUAGGAGAGGAUGAGUUACAAUUAUUAUUUAUAAUACGGAAAAAUUUAGGAAGAUUAAAUUUAAAAAGGAGGACUUAAAAGUAAGGGGAGAAAUUAAGCUCCUUUGAACAAAAGCUCUGUGGUGCGUACAUAUCGCCCGUCGCUCUCGCUAAAAAGUGAGAUAAGUCGUAACAUAGUAGGGGUAACGGAAGUUGUUCCUGAA